CGACGUGAGGAGCCUGCCUCAAAGAGGGGGACAACAGUUGGAAACGACUGCUAAUACCGCAUAAGCCCACAGCUCGGCAUCGAGCAGAGGGAAAAGGAGCAAUCCGCUUUGAGAUGGCCUCGCGUCCGAUUAGCUAGUUGGUGAGGUAACGGCCCACCAAGGCGACGAUCGGUAGCCGGACUGAGAGGUUGAACGGCCACAUUGGGACUGAGACACGGCCCAG
This 223-nucleotide ribosomal RNA is filed under the name uncultured bacterium. RNAcentral describes it as "partial 16S ribosomal RNA". It matches the Rfam family "Bacterial small subunit ribosomal RNA", at positions 113 to 334 of the family's 1533-position model. The record is from RNAcentral.